This 1083-nucleotide ribosomal RNA is filed under the name Salmonella enterica. RNAcentral's name for it is "partial 23S ribosomal RNA". It matches the Rfam family "Bacterial large subunit ribosomal RNA", at positions 711 to 1707 of the family's 2925-position model. Lineage: Bacteria; Pseudomonadati; Pseudomonadota; Gammaproteobacteria; Enterobacterales; Enterobacteriaceae. RNAcentral also lists the same sequence under 1 other name. The record is from RNAcentral.
AGACCCGAAACCCGGUGAUCUAGCCAUGGGCAGGUUGAAGGUUGGGUAACACUAACUGGAGGACCGAACCGACUAAUGUUGAAAAAUUAGCGGAUGACCUGUGGCUGGGGGUGAAAGGCCAAUCAAACCGGGAGAUAGCUGGUUCUCCCCGAAAGCUAUUUAGGUAGCGCCUCGUGAAUUCAUCUCCGGGGGUAGAGCACUGUUUCGGCUAGGGGGCCAUCCCGGCUUACCAACCCGAUGCAAACUGCGAAUACCGGAGAAUGUUAUCACGGGAGACACACGGCGGGUGCUAACGUCCGUCGUGAAGAGGGAAACAACCCAGACCGCCAGCUAAGGUCCCAAAGUCAUGGUUAAGUGGGAAACGAUGUGGGAAGGCCCAGACAGCCAGGAUGUUGGCUUAGAAGCAGCCAUCAUUUAAAGAAAGCGUAAUAGCUCACUGGUCGAGUCGGCCUGCGCGGAAGAUGUAACGGGGCUAAACCAUGCACCGAAGCUGCGGCAGCGAACGUAUCACCCAAGACAACUUUACGGAGUUGACGAUUGACGGAGCGAAGCGACGUCAAAGCGUUCAUUAAAGUCGAGUUGGCUUAGGGAUACGUUCGUUGGGUAGGGGAGCGUUCUGUAAGCCUGUGAAGGUGUGUCGUGAGGCAUGCUGGAGGUAUCAGAAGUGCGAAUGCUGACAUAAGUAACGAUAAAGCGGGUGAAAAGCCCGCUCGCCGGAAGACCAAGGGUUCCUGUCCAACGUUAAUCGGGGCAGGGUGAGUCGACCCCUAAGGCGAGGCCGAAAGGCGUAGUCGAUGGGAAACGGGUUAAUAUUCCCGUACUUGGUGUUACUGCGAAGGGGGGACGGAGAAGGCUAUGUUGGCCGGGCGACGGUUGUCCCGGUUUAAGCGUGUAGGUGUGUGUUCCAGGUAAAUCCGGUUCACUUUAACACUGAGGCGUGACGACGAGGCACUACGGUGCUGAAGCAACAAAUGCCCUGCUUCCAGGAAAAGCCUCUAAGCAUCAGGUAACACGAAAUCGUACCCCAAACCGACACAGGUGGUCAGGUAGAGAAUACCAAGGCGCUUGAGAGAACUCGGGUGA